RNAcentral lists this ribosomal RNA (253 nucleotides) under uncultured bacterium. RNAcentral describes it as "partial 16S ribosomal RNA". It matches the Rfam family "Bacterial small subunit ribosomal RNA", at positions 524 to 776 of the family's 1533-position model. The record is from RNAcentral.
UACGGAGGGAGCUAGCGUUGUUCGGAAUUACUGGGCGUAAAGCGCACGUAGGCGGCGAUUCAAGUCAGAGGUGAAAGCCCGGGGCUCAACCCCGGAACUGCCUUUGAGACUGGAUUGCUUGAAUCCGGGAGAGGUGAGUGGAAUUCCGAGUGUAGAGGUGAAAUUCGUAGAUAUUCGGAAGAACACCAGUGGCGAAGGCGGCUCACUGGACCGGCAUUGACGCUGAGGUGCGAAAGCGUGGGGAGCAAACAGG